RNA transcript from Solea senegalensis (Senegalese sole), 11276 nucleotides. RefSeq lists it as uncharacterized. The record is from RefSeq and is a predicted model, not a curated record. NCBI's taxonomy places the organism in Eukaryota, Metazoa, Chordata, Actinopteri, Pleuronectiformes, Soleidae. The transcript has 77 exons.
UGAGAGAGAGCGAGCGUGAGAGAGAGAGUAACCUCAGUACUUCACAACACCUGUUAAGACUCCAGCGAUACAGACACAAUUUGUGAUUUUUACCACAAAGCCCUCUCCUCUCAUGAGACUUGUCACAUCAUGAGAUGCUACCUGUUUCUACUGAUAUACCUUUUGUGCUGCUGGUUUGGGCAAUCAGAUGCACGAAGAAAUGACACAUGCACAGCGAAAGAAACAUGCAGCACAAAAUGGGAUCCAACCUCAAACUUCCUCCACUGUGUGGGGUUAUCAGGGGGGGACACUGGCAGGGACCACAUGAAGAGGCUGAAAGGCGUGCUUGAAGCAACAAUGGACGUGUACACCUUCAUGAAGUCCAGCAUGACAGGAGUGCCAUUUCUGACCUUGCAAGGGGACCUGGAAAUGCACCGUGAAGCUGACCCCCUCCAGAAUGAAGCCCUGGUACAGAUGUGGCUGGAUGUCAAGAUUGUACCAUUGCUUAAAUCCAUCACCAAACAAUUCCUGUCCUGUCUCAGCACCAAGAACUUCAGCUGCACCACCUACCAGACUGUGGUGAGGGAGCUCAGUCACUAUUAUUCUGAGAUGGAGCCCAACAGACAAAACUGGAUCUAUACAUUCUUUAUGUACCCAUUUCUGUCUGGAGACAGAGUUUCUGGUUGUGUGAGCCCACAUGAGAACAAUGAGGAAUGGCUAAUAAAAAACUUUGGUGCCUUCAGAGCCAUGGCUAGAUUAAAGGACUUAUCAAAACUCAACUUGAUUUUCAGUGGAUUGGAGGUUCUUCACCUGUUGUCUCCAGCACAGAAGGCUGAGCUGCUGCUGAGUCCUGAGGUCGAAAGUUGGGACAACAGCACCUUAACAUUGGUCUUCAACAGUUUGCUGACAGGAGGCUCUGGCCCUCAUUCCACCCCAAGGCCUGAUGGUGGCGACAACACUACAACCCCUGGGUUUCUAUCCAUCUACCCUAAGCCUCCACAGCAAACCAUGACACAGGUCCUAAAUGGGUUCAUGAUGGCUCUAAGACCCGUUGGGAGCUUUAUUCAUGAAUUUGUGUCCUUUACACAUGAGAGAAACGUGUCAGAAAUUAAAAGUACCACUCUGACUCAGUUUGUGCUCAACUGGACUCUGUCAGAGCUGGCAGACAUGUACCGGCCACAGAACGGGUCUGUUGUUCCAGAGAGGCCAAAGAUUGACUUUGAUGUGAACAAUGUGGAGGACUGGUACAAGAAGGUCGUGAUACCACUGUUACAGAGCUUUUUGCCGAGCAAUGACUCCCUGAUGCAUCAAAACAUCAAGCUUGCCUUCCACCGAGUAUUCUAUCUGGAACAUGGUAUGAUGGACAAUGAAACCACUGAACUUGUGGAUGUUUGUAGCAUUACCCUUAAUAAGGGUGCUUGUGGGCUGACUAAUGUGGUGGAAAACGUGGCCAAUAUCAUGCACUGUGCCGCUCGAACCAACCUGACAAUAACCGACAUAACGAUCAUGAGACUGAUCGGCGAGCUGACAAAACAACUGAACUCACUCAUUAUGGAAUUAUCCAAAGCUAACUUCAGAGAGCUGGCAUCUGACUUUCAGCAGAUCUUUAGUGAGGUGGACCCUCCCUCUCUGACCCAGGAGCACCUACGUGACCCAGACUUCAUCAAACUCUGGUUCAAGGUCAAAAUGAUGCCCCUCCUGCCGGACAUUCCGCCAGCCCUUCUCUCCUGCCUCAGCACCAAGAACUUUUCCUGUCCUGUUUACCAAACCAUUGUUGCAGGUCUCAGCAAACACAUGAGUGUGAUGGAUGCAGAUCCCAUGUACAGUCAUAACAUCUAUAAGCAUUUUAUCCAUUCCUUUAUGAUGCAUCAGAACACAUCGGAACCCCAGUGUCUUUCUGCAGUCAAUAACAGUGCGGAGUGGCUGAGUAAAAACUUUGGCUUCUUCUCAAGAUUUGCUGUUGUCACUGACUUGUACGAGCUGAACGCAAACUUCUCUGGACUGGAGGUCCUUCACCUCCUUUCCCCAAAACAGUUGGCAGAGAUGAUGGUGUUGCCUCUUCCUACUCCUCCAGAAAAACAUGUUGUCAUCAACAGUGUGUUUGACUUUCUGGAGGCAAACCCUGAACAGCUUCCAGAGGUCCUACACUACUUGGGUCAACUUGCCAAGGAGGUCGAUCCACCCUGUGGUGUCUACAUACACAUUUUUAAGCAACUGUACGCUGUGAUACCAUAUCUGCACCUUGACAUGGAGCCGGUCAUCUGGGCUGGCAUAGAUGUUCUCAUGGACAUUGCACCACAGGAAUGUUUGCCGAAGAACCUGACGUGUCCAGCAACCGCCUUCAAUGCCUCAUUCAUCUGCAAAGGAAUCGACAGCUCUGAACUCGAGUCUCACUUGAAUACGUGGCACUCGAUGGCUGUCCCCUGUAAUUUUACCCUAGAAACAUAUGCAUGUGCACAGCUGGAAAACUUCACAGCCCAUCAGCUGGUGUCUCUCCUGAAAUGUAACCUGCCUGGAAACAGCAGCCACUCUAAAAUGAUUUGGAAGAUGGUGCUCACUAAACUGUCCUUCAUCUUGGACCCAGCUCUGGACAUCAUAGCUAACACAUCAAUGACCAUGGUGGUUCCAUCAGCAUCGGUGGUUUUGGAUGUAAUUGGGGAGAUGAGAGUGUCACUGCUGACUGAUGAGCAGCUGAUGAACAGCAGUGAGAUCAGCACAUGGUUUUCUGGUCGUCUCAGUGCGUUCCUGCCAUUUGCGUCAGAAAGAUUUCUGCAAUGUUUGAUCCAAAAGAAUCUCAGCUGUCAGUCGUACCACCAAAUCAUUGCAGGUCUCAGUGAACACAUGAGAAUGAUGGAUGCAGAUCCCAUGUACAGUCAUAACAUCUACAAGCAUUUCAUCCUUUCCUAUCUGAUGCAUCAGAACACAUUGGAACCCCAGUGUCUCUCUGCAGUCAAUAACAGUGCAGAGUGGCUGAGUAAAAACUUUGGCUUCUUCUCAAGAUUUGCUGUUGUCACUGACUUGUACGAGCUGAACCGAAACUUCUCUGGACUGGAGGUUCUUCACCUCCUUUCUCCAAAACAGUUGGCAGAGAUGAUGGUGUUGCCUCUUCCUACUCCUCCAGAAAAACAUGUUGUCAUCAACAGUGUGUUUGACUUUCUGGAGGCAAACCCUGAACAGCUUCCAGAGGUCCUACACUACCUGGUUUCACUUGCCAAGGAGGUCGAUCCACCCUGUGGUGUCUACAUACACAUUUUUAAGCAACUGUACGCUUUGAUACCACCUGUGCACAAUGACAUGGAGCCGCACGUCUGGGCUGGCAUAGAUGAUCUGAUGAACAUUGCACCAGAGGAAUGUGUGCUGAAGAACCUGACGUGUCCAGCAACCACCUUCAACGCCUCAUUCAUCUGCAAAGGAAUCGACAGCUCUGAACUUGAGUCUCACUUGAAUACGUGGCACUCGAUGGCUGUCCCCUGUAAUUUUACCCUAGAAACAUAUGCAUGUGCACAGCUGGAAAACUUCACAGCCCAUCAGCUGGUGUCUCUCCUGAAAUGUAAUCUGCCUGGAAACAGCAGCCCCUCCAAAAUGCUUUGGAAGAUGGUGCUCACUAAACUGUCCUUCGUCUUGGACCCAGCUCUGGACAUUAUAGCUAACACAUCAAUGACCAUGGAGGGUCCAUCAGCAUCAGAGGUUUUGGAUAUACUUGGGGAGAUGAGAGUGUCACUGCUAACUGAUGAGCAGCUGAUGAACAGCAGUGAGAUCAGCACAUGGUUUUCUGGUCGUCUCAGCGCGUUCCUGCCGUCUGCAUCAGGACAGUUUCUGCAAUGUUUGAUCCAAAAGAAUCUCAGCUGUCAGUCGUAUCAGCAAAUACUGCAGGGGUUCUUCCACCACUCUGAGUACAUGUCUGUAAAACAGAAGAACGUGGUCUUGAUGAGUUUCAUCAUCCCCUUCCUGUCACAACCACACUCAGAUCUAGGCUGUGUGAAUGGCUCCAAUUCAAGUGCAGAGUGGCUCAUGAAGAAUCUCGGCCCAUUUUCAAUGUCAUUGUCUGUUGAGGAGCUACUGUAUUUGAACCCACACUUCAACCCUCUGGAGGACUUAGGACUCUUGACUCCAAAACAGAGUGUGGAGCUGCUGGUGUUGAGUCAUCCUAACCUUCCUGAUCAAAACACCAUUGUUGAUAUGGUGUUUAAUCACCUGACUGAGCCUCCUGAGCAAAAGAAGCUUCCCGAAUUUCUGUUCUACCUCACCAUGCUCCUUCCACAGGCAAACCUUUCAUGUUCCGCAUACAAAAUACUGUUUACCAGAAUGGACCUGGCCAUGGUUCAAGUUCCUCUUUCUCUAGCUUCAAAUAUCACCCACAGCAAGAAUAUCUUAUUCCAGCACAUGCCACCAGGUUGCAUCAUAUACAAAGGAAAUUGCAAUGUCACCAUGACAAAUGAAACAGACAUAUGUCUUGGAGUGAACAGCACAGCGCUGCAGCUCCACCUCGACAGAUGGAACGUGAGCGGAAAAAUGUGUGACUUUGCGAUCGAGGAGUUUGCUUGCGCCUCACUGUUGGCGUUAACAGCGCAGGAUGUGGCUGAGAUGCUGAUGUGUAACAGGUCGUCCGACUCCAGCGGAUCCAUAGCUGCCUGGAAGCUGCUCCUCUCUAAAACCUCUCAUGUGCUGGAUGGAGCUUUGGAUCUUCUUGCCAGCGAGACUUCGGACCCCAAAAAUCCUGCUCUGCCAAAGAUUCUGGGCGCGAUACGGGAAUUAAGACUGGACACCUUCAACGUCGUCAGCUUCAAUGAUCCUGUCUUCAUCCAGCAGUGGUUCAACGGACGGCUUCUCCCGUUCCUGCCCGCCGUUUCCGCUGACUUCCUGUCAUGUAUCGCCACAAAGGCAUUGAACUGCAGCACCUACCAACACAUUGUGCAGAUUUUGAGUCACGCCCAGCCACACAUGACCCUCGCCACGCAGAUGUUUGUCUACACACACUUCAUACAUGUUUUCCUGACCAAGAAUUUCACUGCUGACCCCGUCUGCAGUUUCAACACUAACAACUCUGGGGACUGGCUGCAGAAGAACUUCGGAGGUUUUUCUGUCCUUGUUUCCACCCACGACCUUCAGAUGCUCCACCCCAAAUUCUCAGCGAUGGAGGCGCUGCCAGAGCUGACGGUCAGACAGCUCGCCGAGGUGUCUUCCACACCUGGCCAGCUCACCUCUUCUGCACAGGUUGACAUGUUGAUGAACCAUGUCCCCAGCCAUGAACUCUCCGCCUUCUUUGAUGCAUAUUCACCUGCCAUUAUGGGUAAUGAACACUCGUUCCCCUCUGUGGUGAGAUCAGCCAUGCUUCAAGUUGUGUUUGACAGAGCAAACCUCUCAGAUCCCUCUGUGAGUGACUCCACCGUGAUACUGUGGCUCCACAACCGGCUUCGCCCCCUGCUCUUCGACCUGUCACCUGGCCAUGUUGCACCAUUUUUCAAAAUACUGACGGGAAGGAACUGCAGUCUGGAGCAGCAGGGAGUGGAUGAGCUAAAUUCAACAAUGUCAUCUCUCAGUGGUGAGGCUAAGGAAGGAAUCCACAACAACAUCAUUCAACAGCUCACAGGACCAGUUCCUCUUCGCUGUUAUGGUGACAGCCACAACCAAAGUUUCUAUGGUUUCCUGGAGCAAACAUUCAUGGGAUUUCAGUUCCCCAACCUGACUACCUUCCUGUUACUCAUGCCUCACGACCGAAUGCCUCAGCUGGUGAACUCCAUGCCUCCGUCAGAUCUUGGAGCUUUCCUCCGUCGCCCUGAUGCCGUCGAUGACGAUGCUCAGCUCUGCGUUCUCUACAACAACUACAAGCAGACACCAGCCUUCCUCGAGACUGAGUCUCUCCCAGAGGCCGUGGGGCAGUCCACGCUGCCUUGCGUCUGGCCAAUGGCUCUUGAGAGUUCGGAGAGUUCAGAAGUCAACGCUUGGUUUGACCAAAGUCUCCCUAACUACAUGGGCUUCCUCACAAAAGAUCUGAUCAGCCCCAACGUCACUUACAACUCCAGCUGCCUGGCCUUCCAAAAGCUUGUUUCACUUCUUGGUGUAUACAACUACACUUCUGUGGACUUCAAGAGGCCAGAUGUGUUUGACAGCAUCAGGACGUAUCUCACCUCAGCAACGAUACCAAGGUGUUACAACUCCGAUGACCCAGAACUAAACUCGACAGCCUGGUUUGCCGAGUACAUCGGCCCGUUCAUGCCUUUCCUCACACUUGAGGAUUUGCAGACAUUUGGAUCAUCUGAGGUGAUCCAGGUGUUCACAGUGAACCCUUUGAAUAUUGCCCUCCUCAACCACUCCACCUUAUCUCUCAACCUCACCAACUACUACACCGAGCUGGUUUAUCUGCAGGACAGCAACUUCAAUCCCUUGUUUCUGCCUCUGGUGUGCCGGUGUGUCGCUCCUGGACCGUCGUUCAGUCAGCUGAAUGGUGAAGAGACUUUGAUAAUGUUGUACAAUCUGACCACAGUCUGUACAGACCUGGAUCCACAGAUUUCUUCAGCACUGGCAGGUAACCUUGGUGACAGCAUAGAUGCCACAGCCAUUACUGCCCUCGGCACAGAAAGCAGCGGUCUGUCCACAGGCCAGAUCCACACAAUAAAGCCCGAUGAUCUAGUGGAUUCUCUGUCCAUUCUCAGCACUGUGAACGGCUGGAACGAAGGUCAGGCCAGGGCCAUUAUUGCUUCUAUCAUGUCCUCUGGAAAAUUUGAGAUCACUAACUCUUCAUCACUGCUGAAGCUGGGCUCCCUCAUCGUGGGUGUCCCUGCCUCUAUGUUUGGCAGCAUCAAUGGCGUGCAGCUUGUCAAUGCAGCUGAAAACCCAACAUUCCUGACGCACUUGAUGUCAACUCCACGAAUCAUCCAGUUGAUCUUUGUUAAGCAGAUCAUAUCAGUGAACAGUAACAGCGAGGCCAUGAUGGUGAACGUCCCAGAUGAAAUGGCCACCGAGAUCCCUCGAACUCAGGUUCUGACCUUCACCAGUACCAGCGUGAUCAGAAUGGUCAACAAGAAGAAAUGGAAACAUCAGCAGGCUGAGCUGUUCUUCGAUGUCUUAGCUGUGGAGGAUGUGACCACAGAGUUGGGAGGUGCAAACAACUUGUCAUCCUCUGUAUUACAAGGGUUCACCUGUACUGGAGUAAGGACCAUUAAAAAGGUGCAGAUCAAGAAACUGGUCAAAGCCUGUCGGAGGAAAGGCAAGAAGAAGGUCAAACUGACGGAGACACAGCUGACGUGCAUGUACAACCACAUUAAAGGAGAGUCCGACGCCACCAGCUUCGACCAAUAUCCUAGUGAUGUGCUUUUGUACUAUGAUUACUCUCAGGUGCCUCAGAGCAGCUGCAGGUCUUAUUUCGGACAAAUAUCAGAUGCAGACUUCUCUGUCUUCUCCAACGACCUCAGCUACAAACGUACUAAUCUGUUAAAUAAUGCCAAGAGCUGCCUGGGUGUAACAGACACCAGCUUGAGUGAGGAUAAUAUACGGUUGCUGGGAAACAUGUGCUGCUAUGUGGACCCAUCUUACAUUGAGGAUUCUGACCCGUAUAUCUUGGAAAUCCUCAAGACCUGCUCAGACCUCACUGACACUCAAGCAUCUGCGGCUCAGACUCUGCUGCUGAGCGGGAAAACUCCAUACGGAGAACCAUCAACGUGGGAUAGACAGACUCUGGAGGACCUGGAUAUGUUACCGCUGUACAUGACGUCAACGUUCUAUGAGCAAUUUGACAGGAAAACGAAGCGCAAAUUUUUGAGGUAUUUCCGGAGAUUUCUCAAGAGAAGUGGUGUGGGCAGGAGGAAGAGGAGGAAGUUCAAGAGAGCAAUACGACAAUCGCUUAGAAAGAAGUCAAAGCGAUCUAUUGCCGAUGAGUGCACUGUGGGAAACAUCACUCAGGUGACAAUCAGCGAUGAGACGUUCCCCUUCGAUUACGACGAGGUGGCCCAGUUCAACUGCUGCCUCAGCGCCACGACGGUUAAAGACAACUUGGCUGCCAUUGCUGAAAAGGUGGACGAGCAGGAAUACCUCCAGAUUGUACUCAGCAAGCUGCAUGAGGCUUACGCUUCCACCGCUUCCAUCCCAGAAGACCAGGUUCAGGUUUUAGGCCCAGUGUCGCGUGAGGCCGACAUUGCUCAAAUAAACAAAUGGACGAUCACUCAGAUCGAUACUCUCUCCGCUUUGAUGGACUCGUCCGACGGGGAAUGGGACCCGAGCAUGGCUAAAGUCAUCAUCUCUAAGUAUCUGAGUGUCGCAGGGAACGAACUCGGCAGCGUAGAGCUCAAUGCCAUCGGAGGAACCAACCUGUGCGCUCUGGACGUGGACGCUUUGAAGAAUAUCUCCCAACAAAGCCUCAAGGAGGCCGACGCCCUCGAUGUGUCCAACUGCACCACAGAGAAAAAGAGAGAGCUGUUUGCCAUCGCCACAGAGGCGUUUUCAGAAACCAGCCGCUCCUCCGUAGCUGUCUCCGUAUCCACCUACCAGCUCGCAAAAUCUUACCUUGGGGGUGCAAAUUUAAGCUACAUACAGAGUUUGGCAAAAUCCAAUGUCAGCAUGGACAUGGUUACUUUUACCAGCCUGGAUGAGAACGUUAUACAGGCCCUGACUGUUGAUGAAGUCAAAAAUCUCCUUGGCGACAACGUGGAUGAGUUGAAGAACUAUGAAAACCAAACGCAGGUAGAGUCAUGGAUCAGGGCUCAGUACCAGUCAGAACUGGACACACUGGAAUUGGGCCUGACAGGAGGUAGAGCUGACCCCACAACUGUCGCCGUCACCACCACAACACCACCAGCACCACCACAGUCAACACAAGCAGGUGCAACUACCCCUGCAUCUGGAAGUGCAACCACAGGUCAUGGCUCUCGCGUCCGUGCAGACGUCGGCGUCUCCCUCCUCGUUCUCUUAGCGCUGUUUGUCAUGUCCCAGCAUGUCGUGGUGUAAAGACAACAGGACUAUUUUCAUGACUGAUGAGGAGUGGAAUUUAUGAUCCAGGUAAUAGUCGAGAUGAAAUGAGGAGAGAGCUACUGUCCUUUUGAUUUGUCUCUUAGUAAUAGAAGUACAAUAGUGGCGGUGAGUGAAUUACCUCACAGCAGAAGCACUUAAAUUAGUCUACAUUGUUACAUUACAGUGCAUUAACUUACAAUAAACAAAACAUAUCAUCAAUAACAACAACACAGUACAUUAACAAUUAUGAAGUUUUACCCGCCGUAAAAAAACAUUUUAUGUAUCAUUUCCAGGCACGUUUACCUGCUUUACUCAUAUUAUUUUAUAUUUUUCACUUGUUUAAACUGCUGACAGGGUUUAACAGACAGAAAUAACUAAAUGAAGGUGGCAAGUUUUCUGCAGCGUUUUCCAUCGCUGUAAUCCUUUAGAUUCCUCUGUUUGAGACAAAAUGAAAAUGAAUGAAUGAAGAAUGAUUAUGGAACUCCUGUUAUAAAUGAAUAAAUAAAGUGUAUAGUCAUCAAAUCUCAUCCUUGUCUCAGUUUAUUAACCCUAUUAACACCCUUUAAAUUUAUUAACACUUAUUUUAACCAUAAAAGGAACCAGAAAAUGUCCUGUAAUUUAGUGCUUUUGGACAUUUUUCCAGAAUAACUUCCGAUAUCUGGCAGGAAUUUACAAGAAAGAAGAAAAACAAAAAGGUUUAUUUCGAGAAAAAAACCCACUGCAGUUGUACACCAACAGAUUGUGCGUGUUAAAUUAGGAAUUUGAACAAUAUAAAACAUAUUUAAGACAAUAUUUUUUGAGUCUCUCAAUGUUUCUUUGUCUCUCGGUGUGCAAAAACCGCUGAUUCUCUGACUUCCUGAAACAGUGUGAGUGAAAUUAGUAAUUAUUAAUGAAUUAGUGAAUUAGUAAUAACCAAACGUUGGCUUUGAUGUGCGACAUUUCUCAGCUUUCAGGAAUCAUUGGGCGUGAGAGGAUACGCGGCGUUCCUCAAGGAUCCGCUCCCGGCCCAACUCUAUUGAACAUCGACAUGCUGCCUCAAGCUUCAGCUUAUAAAAUAUUACAACUUAUCUUAUCACACCUGUGCAGACGACACACUACUUUAUAUAUUCAGUGUCAUCACAUGACCACAGUCACUGAAUAAGUGUAUUUAUCGAAUCAGUGAGUGGAUGCGCCGGAGCUGUGUCUCAUCUAAAAUACGCCUGUUAUUAGACCUCAGAGCUCGGGGUGGAGUGUGAAGAAAAAGGAGUUCUGAGAGCGAGGAGCGGCGGCGUGACUGUGACGGUGACUGGUCUAAGCCAACAUACGGGGAAUUGCAAUAAUCCAACGGAAAUGUAUAAAAGCAUGGAUUAGUGUUUCUAAGACCCUGCAAAACUAGGCCAUUUCUGUGAUUUUACUGCCCUAAUGUUUUAAAAAAACAAACAAACAAUGGUUUGGAGUAAAUAACACAGGUAUAAUACACAGGUAGCACAAAAGGUAAGGACAUUUGUGUUUCCUCAAUUAUUUAUUUAUUAUUCAUUUGUUGUAACAAUGUUUCUGGGUAAUAAUUCUUACACCGUUGGGAAAACCUGUUUAUUUCCCUUUCAAAUUCUGCCACAUUUUUAAGCAGUAUUCAGAACUUAUUUAAAAAUGUAGCUGAGCAUCAUUUAAAACAAAAUCUUUGUGUGUGCAAGCUAUGGGACUGAUUAUUAAUUUACUUAUUUAGAUUAUUUUAUAAACAAUAUAAAAAUAAAUAAUGUAAAUAGAGCUAUAUCUAGCUAUUUGGAAAUAGGAAGUCAACUCAUGAUUGUUGAAUAAAUGUUUCUUUCUACUACUUACCUAUUAUUUUAUUCACUGACACUUGCUUUUGCCUCAUGUAAAGUUGCUUAUUUUAAUGUAAACUGUGUGUGUGUGUGUGUGUGUGUGUGUCAUGCGUGUAAUGUAAAUGAGUUGCAGGUGUGUGUGAUGAACUGACUGAUUGCUCAGUGUGAGUGUUCAGGUGCAUCGUGGGAUCUGAUUGGUCCAGAACAGGAGGCUCCAGUAUAAGAGGCCUGAGACUGACUGCAGACUCUGAACAUGUGUUCACUGAUGCUUUGUUUAUGUGUUGUUGUUGGGGGUUUUUUUUCUGCUUAGUUUAAAGUGCAGGUGUAUUUAUCAAAAUAAAGUGACUGUCCUUGCAGCACUGAUCAGCCUGGUGGCAUCUGGAAUAAAAACCACUCUGUCACAAAAAGCCUGGGUUCUGAAAACUCUCGUACUGUUGUGGCUUUGCCUGAAUUAUGUCAUUUCCUCAUAAUUAUGUGAAAUGUGUUCGAACAUCAAAUGUUGGCACAUUCCGGAGUUGAAUCUCCGCCGUGAGCCAAUAAAGUAUGCAGCCUGUU